Molecule: long non-coding RNA, 339 nt
Filed under: Zalophus californianus (California sea lion)
Lineage: Eukaryota; Metazoa; Chordata; Mammalia; Carnivora; Otariidae
Description: lncRNA (ENSZCAG00015008118.1)
Source: RNAcentral
CGGGAGCCCGCGGGCUCGCAAACAGCGGAUCCGCUGCGCGCUGACGAGGCCCGGGAGAGGCUGGGGCUGCGCGGGCUCCGCGCGCGCCUCGGGGGAGCGGCCGCCGGGACCCAGGACGGCCGAGGCAGCAGCGCUGCCGGCCGGGACGCGAUGGGGCGCCCGAGUCCGCGGAAUGAGCUGGGCAGCUGGCCAAGGAAGGCGCAGAUCAAAGCUGGCUGGUGAGGGACCUCUCCUGACUUUGUGAGUGCCACAUCUUGAGCUGUCUAGACUUCAGUGUACGUGGGACACUGUGUUCCUGCCAACUUCUCCCAGCCAAAUGCAAUACCCUCUGGGCUCUUA